GUCCUCUCCUUUCUCCCAAAUCCCCUCUCCUUCUCCACCCAGGCAUCCUCCUCCCACCCUCUUGCUCGGCCGGCCGCCCCCGCCUUCUCCACCCAGCCGAUUGCGGCUCCACCGGCCGGAGGCCACGGCGGCCGGAUGACACCGAGAUCGACGAGGAAUGGGGAGGCGGCGCGCAAGCUCGAGGUGGAAGGAGACCAUGGUGGCUAGGGUUUCUCGAUGCGCAUGGGGAGGGCGCCGCCAGGCCAUUGACGAGCACUCUCGCGCUCCCAUCACCAUCCGCCAGCGUGUCUCCGGCGAGAGGAGGAGGCCACUGUUGACGAGCACGAUGAGGAUGAGGUCGCGCGGGGGAAGACAUAGUCGGGCUUGCAUGAGGUGCUUGGCCUCCACUGAUGCGUCCUCAACUGCGUGGUGAGAAGUGGCUGCGGCAUCUGGCCGUCGGUGCGGCUCCGGUCGUGUUUAGUUAAGUCCAGAUUGAAGUGGGUCUGCCUUUUUAUUCUCCUUUUCCCCAUCUUUGACUCCUCUUUCUUUCCUGAUGUGCAGCGACCAACACCAAGAGGAAAGCGACAAAUCAACUAGAGAAUUAGCCUGGACAAGUAUAUGAGUGAGAAAAGUUACAAGAAAAGGAUUUCUAGGAGCGUGUCGACCAUAACCAAAAGGAUGACCAUGACCAACAAAGAUGAUUUUGCUACAGACUGCAUGUUUGAUGAGGGAGAUGGACCGGGGAAGAAGGCGUUGGGGCUGUGGUGGGCGGCUAGCGGCGAGGACGGUGUCGACCGGCAAGCUGCAAGGCAGCGGAGGAGGUACAGAAGAAGAAAUGGCGGCUUCCAGAGCACUGAUUCGUUCUCUCUCUCUCUCUCUCCCUCUCUCUCUGUUGUGCAAGGGCUUGAAAAAAAGGAAUGGUACAUCGAUGACUUGCAUAUGAGUUUCCAUCGGGGCAGAGUUAAGAGCGGAGGCAGACUCUUCAUGUUUGAUUUAGCUCCCAAAACAUCUCAUAUAGUGUGUGCAAGAUCCAUUUUAUCCUUUGCAUACAACGUGUUUGAUUAAAAUCCUACAUAAGAGUAAUGGAUGUAAUAUCUAUAUUCCAUCUAGCUGAAGCUGCAGCAGAUGUAUAAGAGAUAGUAGGUCGCUAGCUAAUUUGACUAAGCAACAGAUCAAGUUUCUGUUCCUAUCCUUCCUGAAUGCGCUGGCGAAAUAGAACAAUGGGGAAAUCGUUACUAUAGCUUAGAGCUGAGAUCCGUGCAGUGGCAGGACCUAGAUGCAACGCUUGACUAUACACUUUUUGUUCCUUUUUAGAUGUGCAUCUCUGCCUGCUAUGUGAUAUCCCAUUCGCGCUAGCAUUUGUAGUGUCUCCAUGAUGUACUCAUCUCCCAAUUUUGUUACUGCUGCAAAGACACCAUCUUGCUUGCUUAGCGCAGACCAGUGGAAGAUUUAAUUGGGUCGGCGCCUUGCUGGAAUUGCCGUGUCAGUUGGCCAUGGCUGCUCUCGUUGGUCUGCUGCCUGGUUGCGUUCUUGAUAAACGCCCUGGCGUUCAUGUUCGAUGGCAUCAACUUCUGAGCAUCCGACUACAUGUACUAUGCUUACUCCAUGGUUGGGGUGGUGUCCAUAUCCAUACACGAUGAGGAUAAUGUGGCACGGGGGAAGACAGAUCUGGCAGCAAAGAGAGCCACCAUGGGCGAGGACAUGAAGCCCUUUGAUGAUCAAGUUGGCUAUAUUCUAGGAGUCUGGAUUGAUUAUACAUUUGAUUUCUCCUAGAAGGCUCCGCCAACGCGUCUCCAACGAGCGUGAGAGGAGGCCGCUGCUUCCGUGCACACGGUGCGGAUUGUGGUGGAGGGAAAAACCAGUUUUAAUAAUAUACCUGGUUCGGUGUAUUACCCUGGUGGUGACACUGCCAAGGACUUGUGACUUCAGCUUGUUGCAAAUGGCUUUGCCAAAUAUGCUCGAGUGGAGUGUAAAAAAGGAAUGGCUGCGGACUGGAUUUAAGCUGCCAGUAACUAACUCAAAGUCAAUACGUGACCAGAAAUUCAGUAGAAAAGGUUGUUGUUACCGAAGUUCAUGAUGGUUGAAAGUUUUAUGCCCAGACAAUAGGUGACUAGAGAGUUUCAUCCAUUCAACAGCACUUGCAUCAUUGAUACUUAAAGAGGCACUGGUCAAUGGUGCUUUUAAUUAAUCCUGUGAAGGGAGAUAGUCCUUGCUCAGUUUAGCCUUGAGAACUCCUGGAAUAGAGCAAUGCUUGGUCAGCCUGUUUUUGAUGAUCCAAGCCUUCCGCAUGCCCCAUCUACUACGUAUUAUUUUGGAGAUUAUUUGAUGUCCCAUCUACUACACCAGGCACAGGCUGCUGGGGCAGAAACCUCAGGCUGAUGGACCCCCUAAGAAGAAGAAGGGAGUACUUCGACAUUCGUCCAACAGAUUAUAAGGAUCUUACACCAAAGCGUACAUAUAAAUCUACCAGGAAUUGCAUCACCAAAGAGUAUCUUUUAUUAAUUCGCAUGUGCAUUACACAAUUUUCCUACGGUUUACUCCUCAGAGUUGUGUCAAGGGGUGACCUCCAGGAGACUAAUACCUUUCACGUUUCUCAGGACUUGCUUUGUGUGUGGGCAGGAAAAGUUUCUGCUCUUUCAUGGAAUGUGCACUGUUGUUCCAAGUGUGCGCUUUUGUACAGAUGCAAGCUCAAGGUUGAUAUAUAAUCUCUAUGUGAUAUGCAUUGGUCUACUAAAUUGAGCCUGUAAUAGAUUCUUCGGCUAUCAAUAUGCGCUGCGUCACCAAGUAGGCGACCGAGGAAAUCUCUCGCUGAAUUGAUAAAAUUUAAUCUCUUGCAUGCGACCGUUUGGAGAAAUGUUUGGAUAAAAUGAGGAUGAGCUAAUGUUCCUAAAAUUAGAACCAAGGUUGCAUCUAUAAAAUUGAUUUCUACUCAUGUUGUGUUAUUGUGUAAGGUUGUUUAUAGCCUUUUCAGUUCAGCUAUUUUGUUCCUUUUGAAUACCUUUUAAUACGCAAUGUGUUAUCACCCCUUAUCUGAUUAGGUUACAUUGA
Molecule: RNA transcript, 3027 nt
Organism: Lolium perenne
Lineage: Eukaryota; Viridiplantae; Streptophyta; Magnoliopsida; Poales; Poaceae
Source: RefSeq, a predicted model, not a curated record